UGGGGAAUAUUGGACAAUGGGCGAAAGCCUGAUCCAGCCAUGCCGCGUGUGUGAAGAAGGUCUUCGGAUUGUAAAGCACUUUAAGUUGGGAGGAAGGGUUGUAGAUUAAUACUCUGCAAUUUUGACGUUACCGACAGAAUAAGCACCGGCUAACUCUGUGCCAGCAGCCGCGGUAAUACAGAGGGUGCAAGCGUUAAUCGGAAUUACUGGGCGUAAAGCGCGCGUAGGUGGUUAGUUAAGUUGGAUGUGAAAAUCCCCGGGCUCAACCUGGGAACUGCAUUCAAAACUGACUGACUAGAGUAUGGUAGAGGGUGGUGGAAUUUCCUGUGUAGCGGCGAAAUGCGUAGAUAUAGGAAGGAACACCAGUGGCGAAGGCGACCACCUGGACUGAUACUGACACUGAGGUGCGAAAGCGUGGGGAGCAAAACAGGAUUAGAUACCCUGGUAGUCCACGCCGUAAACGAUGUCAACUAGCCGUUGGGAGCCUUGAGCUCUUAGUGGCGCAGCUAACGCAUUAAGUUGACCGCCUGGGGAGUACGGCCGC
RNAcentral lists this ribosomal RNA (544 nucleotides) under uncultured bacterium. Its description in RNAcentral is "partial 16S ribosomal RNA". It matches the Rfam family "Bacterial small subunit ribosomal RNA", at positions 355 to 889 of the family's 1533-position model. The record is from RNAcentral.